UUACUAUUAAUGUAAUUGCUUUUAGCUGUGAAGUAUUUAUUUUAUCUCCAAGAGCCUACAAAAGGCAAGGGGACAAAAAGAUUUUUUAUGACGGCAACCCUAGCGCGGCUGACGGCUAGGGUUUCUUCUGGCUUGAGGGCUGUGACCCAGGCCCAAUCUGGGACAGGCCCAAUAUGGGAACAAUAAGGCACAAUCUGGGCUGGGAAG
This 207-nucleotide long non-coding RNA is filed under the name Vigna radiata. RNAcentral's name for it is "long non-coding RNA (VRAD_LNC013577)". Lineage: Eukaryota; Viridiplantae; Streptophyta; Magnoliopsida; Fabales; Fabaceae. The record is from RNAcentral.